This is a long non-coding RNA of Agelaius phoeniceus (red-winged blackbird), 362 nucleotides long. RefSeq lists it as uncharacterized. The record is from RefSeq and is a predicted model, not a curated record. Lineage: Eukaryota; Metazoa; Chordata; Aves; Passeriformes; Icteridae.
GCCUAAAGAACAGUGAGGACCAUGGCACACCACAAACACCUACCCUGGCAUGCCCUGACACACAAGGGAGAAGCUAUGCAAGGUUAGGAGAGCUGGGAAGUGUUCACACGUGGAUUGGAUGUCCAGGCUUCAGUGGAGUCCAGAGACCAGCCCACUUCACCCCACAGCAGACAUCCUGGCACACCAACUAGCUGCCUGAACUCAGAUGUCCAGUGCCAGCUUUGCCUCUGGUACCCAAGAUAUUUACACAGAAUUGCCAAAUAUUAAACAUGACCUUUCUCCCUCCCAAGUGGCAGCUGGAAGUUGGGGCCUAUUACAGGAUAUCUCAAAUGGCUCUAAAUAAAUAAAUGUGGACAACUGAA